GAGGAAUAUUGGGCAAUGGACGGAAGUCUGACCCAGCAACGCCGCGUGAAGGACGAAGGCCUUCGGGUCGUAAACUUCUUUUGAGGGAGACGAGGAAGGACGGUAUCCCUCGAAUAAGCCACGGCUAACUACGUGCCAGCAGCCGCGGUAAAACGUAGGUGGCGAGCGUUAUCCGGAUUCAUUGGGCGUAAAGAGCUUGUAGGUGGUGCGAUAAGUUGGACGUGAAAACUCCGGGCUUAACUUGGAGAGGCCGUUCAAUACUGUCAUGCUAGAGGGCGGCAGAGGGAAGUGGAAUUCGUGGUGUAGCAGUGAAAUGCGUAGAUAUCAGGAGGAACAUCCGUGGCGAAGGCGGCUUCCUGGGGCGCACCUGACACUGAGAAGCGAAAGCUAGGGGAGCAAACG
RNAcentral lists this ribosomal RNA (402 nucleotides) under uncultured bacterium. RNAcentral describes it as "bacterial SSU rRNA". It matches the Rfam family "Bacterial small subunit ribosomal RNA", at positions 356 to 774 of the family's 1533-position model. The record is from RNAcentral.